Molecule: transfer RNA, 84 nt
Filed under: Candidatus Scalindua sp.
Lineage: Bacteria; Pseudomonadati; Planctomycetota; Candidatus Brocadiia; Candidatus Brocadiales; Candidatus Scalinduaceae
Also listed under: 1 other name
Description: tRNA-Leu
Rfam family: tRNA
About the family: Transfer RNA (tRNA) molecules are approximately 80 nucleotides in length. Their secondary structure includes four short double-helical elements and three loops (D, anti-codon, and T loops). Further hydrogen bonds mediate the characteristic L-shaped molecular structure. tRNAs have two regions of fundamental functional importance: the anti-codon, which is responsible for specific mRNA codon recognition, and the 3' end, to which the tRNAs corresponding amino acid is attached (by aminoacyl-tRNA synthetases). tRNAs cope with the degeneracy of the genetic code in two manners: having more than one tRNA (with a specific anti-codon) for a particular amino acid; and 'wobble' base-pairing, i.e. permitting non-standard base-pairing at the 3rd anti-codon position.
Source: RNAcentral
GCCGAAGUGGCGGAAUUGGCAGACGCGCUAGCUUCAGGUGCUAGUGUUCGCAAGGACGUGGGGGUUCGAAUCCCCCCUUCGGCA